Callithrix jacchus (white-tufted-ear marmoset) is the source of this 5032-nucleotide long non-coding RNA. RefSeq lists it as uncharacterized. Lineage: Eukaryota; Metazoa; Chordata; Mammalia; Primates; Cebidae. The record is from RefSeq and is a predicted model, not a curated record.
GCUAAUGGAAACUCAAGGUUUGAAAGGAGGUGAUGUAAGACAGGCGACCCUAGAGAAAGAAGCAGCUGUCACAAAUGCCAGACCCAAAUGCAAUGUUAAGAUGAUGGAUGAAGACUAUGAACUGUAGAGAAGGGUAGAACCAGCAUUAACUUCAGCUGACGUACAUGCUUCUGCCAAAUAAAACUGCACAGCAGUAAAGCAGGCAGAGAAGAAAGAAUCAACAGCAAAGGUACAACUGGAACCAUGGAAAUCUCCAGGAGAGAGGUAAAGGGAGAGGCUACCCUAAAGCCCGAAGACAGAAAGUGUCCCACUCACCUGAGGGACCAGGACAGGGGAGUCUUGGGAGGCCAGGUCUGAGACGGCGGAUGACAGCCCCUAGCUAAUAAAAGGGCUGCAGGAGAGUCCGCCAAGAGGGGGAGAAUUCCUACCACAUUCGGCAGCUGGGCCAGCCCAAGCCUGCCAUGGGUUAUAAGACUUUUACUGCCAUUUAAGCAGGUCAAGUCGAGGACGCAAGGUAAAAACAGGGUACUUUCUAAGCUGCGACAAUGAAUAAUUGGUGGCUACAGGGCAAGAAGCCAUGGAAACUAAAGGAAAUUUGGACUGGACAUCAGAGACCACAGGAGUGACCUGUAGAGCCCCUUGACUUUACUGGUUAGGAUCAAAAGCUAACCACCAAAUACUAAGGCUAGUGCUUCUUUCAGUGUCCUCCUGCCCUCCUCUCCUCUUUCUUCAUCAGUCCUGAAGCAGGCAGGCCCAUGCUGCUGAUCCCAAGUUGACCCAGGAGUACACUAAGGCUUGGACAGCUUAGUUGACCUGUCCAAGAGCACAGGAACACUCCUGACUUCCAGCCCAGUGUGGUUUCCAUUAGACACUCAUGCCAUGGCAUGAAAACCACAAUGAGGUCAGGCAGAUAGUUCUGCAACCUGGAACUCUGAGCAAAAUUGGUUACGACUGCAGCUGACAUACAUGGCCCCAUACAGCCCAGCAAGGAAGGGGGCAAAGGUCACACCAAGUCAGGACAGAGGCUGGGCCUCUGCUGUGUUCAGGGAACCUUUGGAUAAAUUCCUUCUCCAAUAACAACUCCCUUAUGUAAACUAACCAAAAGAAAGCAAACCCAAGUUUCUGCAUAUUUUCAUUGUUUUGUAUGAUUUUUGCUGGUCUUAGAGUGCUUAUGAGUCAGAAGCAAUUUCAGGAAAUGCUGCCCAUGUCACCAGCUGGAAUCCAGGUUCCUGUUCUGCAAGAGCCUUCAGACGCAGGCACAUGUUUGAGCAUGCAUGCACACAUACACACAAGCUCUCACACAUGCCUACACUCACGUUCACAAACCCCCAUAUUCACAGACACUCACUGGCAUACACUCACACAUAAACUCAUAUACACACAUACCUUCUCACAUGCACUGGCACACACACUCACACAAACCUACACCAUAUUGACAAAUUCACAUACAUAUAUAUACUCACAUAUUUAUACAAACACAUGCUCACAUAUAUACUCAUAUAAUAUGCACACACACAAACCCAGAAACACACAUCCACUCACACUCCCUCAUAUACACACAUACAUACUCACACAUACACUCCCACACACGUGCACAUGCACGCACGUGCAGACACGCAGAGCCAAGACUUAGCUGUGGCCAAGGCGUCCUGACACUAAAUAUAAGCACGAUGUGCUCGGCGCAAAAGGCACUUGUUGCAUGAGAAUUAAAACUGGAUCAAGUCCACUGAUUAUUUAGCUAUUUCCAAAUAUCUGCAUGUUUUGCUUUGUGGACAUCUGAAUAGUUGGCUGGGGCAAGCUUUUCUCUGUACCUCCUUCCCUCCGGGGAUGUGUGAAUCAGUUGUUCCUAACCAUCCCUUCCCACCAAGGCAGAGCAGUGGGAAGUGAGGUCAGUUGGCUGUCUCUGUUGCAAAAGGUACACAUAAAAAUGCUGAUUUGAAAGACAGGGGACUGAAGGGACUUUGCAAAGUGACAGCGGCAGCCCCCUGACUCAGAAGGGGCCAUCUUUCUAGGGGAAAAGAGACUGACAGCCCUCCCUCCUUUCUCCCCACUUUCUCAUAAGUCCUCAACAGAGGACCAGAAGCCUUCUCACCUUCUAUCCUUUCUGCAGGGGUCCAUCCCAGGUCACAACACACUUCCUUGGGAAUUUCCAAUCUCUGCAGAAUCAAUGAGCCUAAGAUAUAAUGAUGGCUCUCUGUCUAUGGGAACAAAGUUAUUUCUGUAAAAUGUGAUACAACACACUACACAAAGUGUACACAAAGCCAAUAUUUAUUCCUAUCUAGUUGUGUUUGCCCAGCAUUUGCUAUUUCAUUGUGUCUAUUUCUGUUUGGUGUCUAUCUGUCUGUUUUGUCUCCCCCAGACACGUAGAAGAGGAAUGCUUUCUCCAGCCAAUGAUGAGUACAAGAUUCCCAGAAAUUAAGUCCUCAAUUAGGGCUUUGGGUGAUGAUGGUAAUGACGGGACAUUCUGAGUAAAACAUUGUAACAAUGAACUAUUAAGGUAUCUAAAGGCGAUUCUGUUUCAGAGGAGGACGUCAUCGAUUUGCUUGCCUCUCAAUGCUGUUCAAACAGUAACAAGGCAGCAUGUUAGUGCCACCCUUAUUCCCUGUGGACAGCUUGAGAGUUUCUUUCUCAUGAUAUAAGAAGGCUCACUGGCAAAGUGGGGAGAAAAAUGAAACCCAAUUCUGUUAAAAAGCCUCUGUCUUCCAAGAAGACACUAAGGAUCAGAAACAGAUGAAGAAUUAUUCUCUGAUACUUGGUGACAACAGGCGUCUCCACUGCAGGGGUAUGGGAGUGAAUUGCUGGAGCAUGGUUCAAUUUGAUAUUCAUGCAUUGCUUAGUAUACUGCUCAGCACACAGUAGGCCAUCAAUAAUGCUGUGGAAUGAAUGAAUGAAUGAAGUCCUCUCUCCCCUGUUGUGUGGGCAUAUUCCUUAGACAUUUCCAUGUGCCUCAUUCGUGUGAGAGUUCAGUCCUCAUGGAACUCAUCACUGGCCACAUCUUCCCAGCAAUGAGUUCUAUGAAAAUUGCACCCUCACUUUGGCUGUGAUCUCCCUAUAAUGCUGUCCUGAGAGCUUGUGAUGGAAAUCCCUUCAAAAAAGAAAGGGCUUUCCUUUCUUACCCCCCAAACAUCAUUCCCCUGAAUACAGCUUUCUAUUACAGAGGAUUUCAGAAUCGCUUCUCAUCCCUCUGCACGGGUCACUGACCUCUCUAUGCACUCCUCACCUAGACUGUGAGCUCCUUAAGACAGAAAAGGAACAGCUUAUUUACUGCUCACCUCUAGAGCUCAGCACACUCUAGAGCUCAUCCAGUGCACAGCAAUUGAUGAUGAGCUUAUUCCAGGAAAAGUUGAAUGGGAGUGGGAGGAGGACUGCAUCGAGGUUUGCUCAGACUAUCUAAUGACAUCCAUUGCAAAACCUCAGGGUUCCUUGGGAAUAGGCUGUGUUUCCUGGAGAUGGGCAAUGUGGAAAGAAGAUUGCCACAGCCUCUGUGGCUGAGCAGGUAUGUGGAAGAUGGUUAUCGCUUGCUCAAUAGGGACAGUGUAGCAUAGUGAUUUUGUCUGAACUCUAGAGCCAGACUACCUGAGUUAUGCCCUGGCUUUCCCUUCAUUUGUUUUAUGACCUUAGAGAGGCCCUUUAAUCUCAUGUGCCUUGAUUUUCUUAUAUGUAAAUGGGGCAAUAAUCACAGAGAAGAAUAGACGAGUUCAUAUACGUAAAGGGUUUAGAUCAUGGCCUGGCACACACUAAGUUUGCAGGAAAUAUUCGCUAGCAUGAUUCUCUUUGUGCAUGAAGGAAGUGGGGAUCGUUCACCAUGGAAGGAAACUACUCUAGAUCUGAAGGACAAUGUUUUCAGUUGAACUACUGAGUCUCAUCCCUUUUCGGGUUCCUGUCAAUUCUCUAACGGGUCUUCCUGUCCCCACCCUUGCUCUCUCCAACACCUGCUUCACCAAGUCUCCAGGAUCACCUUUCCAGCAGCAGGUCUGACCGCAGCACUGUCUUCUUGAAGGCCUCUCCUGCCUCUGUCCACAGGACACACUCUCGGCUCCCAGCUCGGUACUCAGUGCCCUGCCAGGUGUGAUCUUGGCCACGGCUCCUUGCUUCACCUCCUGCCACUUUCCACCUCUCCCUCCCAAUGGGCUUCAGGCGCACACGGAGUUCUGAACUUCCUCCCACAUAUGAUGGUCUUGCAUCUGAUGUAGGCACUGCUCCUGCUGUCAGGAAUGGCACCUUCUCCACUGCAACCCCCUCCUCACCCUCACCCUCACCCUGCUGUGUGACCAGCAGGCUCUGCUCUUCCUUAAGAGCACUCUUGAGGAAUUACCUCAUUGGUGAAGCUGUCUUAGAUGCUGUUAGGGCUGAAUCGUGUUCCCCAGAAUUCAUAUAUAGUAUUCCUAACCCCCAGCACCCCAGAUGUGACUAUAAUUGGAGACAGGGCCUAUAAAGAGGAAAUGAAGUUAAAAUGUGGCUGUGGGUUUGGACUCUGAUCCAUUCUGGCUGGUGUCCUCAUAAGAAGAGGAAACUUGGACAUGCAAAGAGACAUGAGGAUACAGGCACAAAGGGAAGACCGCAUGUGAACUGAGGGAGGUGGCCAGAGGGCCUGAGAGGAAAGCAGCCCUGCCAACAGUCUCAUCUUUAACCUCUGGCCUCCAGAACUCUGAGGAAAUCAAUUUCUGUUGUUCAGGCCACCAAGCCUGUGGUAUUUUGUUAUGGAAGCAGAGCAAGUUAAUACAGAUGUCCAUAGAAUAGCCUUGGUUUACACCUUCCCUAUAGGGGAUAAGCCAUUUAUGACAUUGGCAGCUCCUAUUAGGCAGGGCUCAGAGAUACUCUUUAUUCUUCACUCUAAACCCUGUACAACUUCUGGAAGCAUGUGUUAAUAAACAUCACGGUCAAGAACUUCGCAGUGAGCAUGUGAGCACAUGGGUAUCCUUGGUGUCUGGGCAUACAUCCUACUUCAAGACUAUUUUGUUUUCUAAAUGUAUGCAAAUGUUUGAUUCUACUCUAUAGCAUGCUUUUGCUAUAAUAAUGUCUUGAAUUUCAA